RNAcentral lists this long non-coding RNA (999 nucleotides) under Ananas comosus (pineapple). RNAcentral's name for it is "long non-coding RNA (ACOM_LNC027720)". The record is from RNAcentral. Lineage: Eukaryota; Viridiplantae; Streptophyta; Magnoliopsida; Poales; Bromeliaceae.
GCGCGGCCUUGGCGGGAUUGGAGGCGAGGAAGGUUGGGGGUGCGUGGACGAGGGCGAGGGCGAGGGCGAGGGCGAGGGCUAGAGAAUGAGGGUGAGAGGCGCGACGGACCGUUUCCGCCUCCGCUCUGCCGGCGAGAAAAAAAAAGAACGAGAGAAACGAAGAGGAGAGAGAAAGAGGAAAGAGAAAAAGUAAAAAGGGUAUUUUGGUCAGUUUGCUGAAAAAGUGAACCGAAUCUGCAAAAACGAAAAAGGUGGCCCGGUUUUGCAAAAGCCCAAAAUAAGUGGAUUUUUUAUGCAAAUUGGCCUUUAAUAUUUAUUCUCUGCUACGACAAAAUCAUCAAAAAGUUUUAUCACCAAACACUCUGCUGGAUGUGGCCUUUAUUUCAAGCAGAAGCCAAAAAUAAAGCCAAACAUGCACUAAGGCUCUGUUUGGGAUUGCGGACAGUUUAUUUUAUGUGCAAUAAAAAUAUAUAAUAAAAAAUAUAUUUUAUUUAUUUUCAUAUGUAAUAUUAUAUUGUGUUUAUUAUAAUGAUUACCAGAUAUAUAUAUGAGUGAGGCUACUAUGCUAUCGGAAGCACGGAGCCUUCCAUGCUUCCAGCUCAUUUUCGAUGUUGUGACUUUCGAAUCGUCGAUCAGCUCCGUUAAACUUGAUCUAGAGUAUUUGGAGUACCUAGAAAAUAAAUUUUAUUAUAUUUCGAUAUCAUUUGUCUAGUAAUCGAACGGGCUCAAAAUCAACAAAUUUUAAAGGCCGUAGUGAGCCGUUUGUAAGUUUAACGGUAUAGAAAUAUCCAAAUCACGUGAAAUUUUGAUAGAAAAUUCUUUAUACUAUAUAAAACAAGAUCAAUAUCUUUGAUUUAAAAUUUUAAUGUCAUAUUAUUACAUUUUGUAAGAUUUUUAUUUUCAGCCGUUGAUUUUAAGCCCCUUCAUUCACUAGGCAAAUGAUAUCGUAAAAUCAUAAAAUUUAUUUUCUAGGUACUUCAAAUACUCUAGAUCAAGUUU